Haliotis rubra (blacklip abalone) is the source of this 108-nucleotide long non-coding RNA. RefSeq lists it as uncharacterized. NCBI's taxonomy places the organism in Eukaryota, Metazoa, Mollusca, Gastropoda, Lepetellida, Haliotidae. The record is from RefSeq and is a predicted model, not a curated record. The transcript is spliced from 3 exons.
UUAGUUAUUUUCUCAGUCUGUUGGGCGCUUUCGAGAGAGGUUUCUUCACAAUCGCGACUAGUGGUUUAUGAUCAGUGACAACAUUCACUGAGUGGCCGAAGGUAUAGU